GUGAGACAACCACAUAUUUCAGUCACAGUAAGGUGAGACAACCACAUAAUGUAUCUCAGUCACAUUAAGGUGAGACAACCACAUACUGUAUUUCAGUCACAGUAAGGUCGGACGACCACAUACUGUAUCUCAGUCACAGUAAGGUGAGACAACCACAUAUUUCAGUCACAGUAAGGUGAGACAACCACAUAAUGUAUCUCAGUCACAUUAAGGUGAGACAACCACAUACUGUAUUUCAGUCACAGUAAGGUCGGACGACCACAUACUGUAUCUCAGUCACAGUAAGGUGAGAUUAAUACCUAUCUCAGUCACAGUAAGGUGGGACAUCCACAUAUUCCAGUCAUAGUAAGGUGGGACGACCACAUACUGUAUCUCAGUCACAGUAAGGUGAGAUUAAUACAUAUCUCAGUAACAGUAAGGUAGGACAACCACUUAUUUCAGUCACAGUAAGGUGGGACGACCACAUAUUUCAGUCACAGUAAGGUGGGACAAACACAUAUUUCAGUCACAGUAAGGUGGGACGACCACAUAUUUCAGUCACAGUAAGGUGGGACAUCCACAUAUUUCAGUCACAGUAAGGUGGGACGACCACAUACUGUAUCUCAGUCACAGUAAGGUGAGACAACCACAUAUUUCAGUCACAG
Molecule: long non-coding RNA, 644 nt
Filed under: Salmo salar (Atlantic salmon)
Lineage: Eukaryota; Metazoa; Chordata; Actinopteri; Salmoniformes; Salmonidae
Description: lncRNA (ENSSSAG00000095776.1)
Source: RNAcentral